CAGUCGCCACGGGAAUACGGAGGGUGCGAGCGUUAAUCGGAAUUACUGGGCGUAAAGCGUACGCAGGCGGUUUGUUAAGUCAGAUGUGAAAUCCCCGAGCUUAACUCGGGAACUGCAUUUGAAACUAGCAGGCUAGAGUCUCGUAGAGGGGGGUAGAAUUCCAGGUGUAGCGGUGAAAUGCGUAGAGAUCUGGAGGAAUACCGGUGGCGAAGGCGGCCCCCUGGACGAAGACUGACGCUCAGGUACGAAAGCGUGGGGAGCAAACAGGAUUAGAUACCCGCGUAGUCCCUGUCUCUUAUAC
RNAcentral lists this ribosomal RNA (301 nucleotides) under uncultured bacterium. RNAcentral's name for it is "partial 16S ribosomal RNA". It matches the Rfam family "Bacterial small subunit ribosomal RNA", at positions 509 to 807 of the family's 1533-position model. The record is from RNAcentral.